CGCGGGGUGGAGCAGCCUGGAAGCUCGUCGGGCUCAUAACCCGAAGGUCGCAGGUUCAAAUCCUGCCCCCGCUACCA
RNAcentral lists this transfer RNA (77 nucleotides) under Desulfobacca sp. RBG_16_60_12. Its description in RNAcentral is "tRNA-Met". It matches the Rfam family "tRNA". Rfam says of the family: Transfer RNA (tRNA) molecules are approximately 80 nucleotides in length. Their secondary structure includes four short double-helical elements and three loops (D, anti-codon, and T loops). Lineage: Bacteria; Pseudomonadati; Thermodesulfobacteriota; Desulfobaccia; Desulfobaccales; Desulfobaccaceae. The record is from RNAcentral. RNAcentral also lists the same sequence under 6 other names.